UGACGAUCAUAGAGGCGUUGAACCACCUGAUCCCAUCCCGAACUCAGAAGUGAAAGGCGCCAUCGCCGAUGGUAGUGUGGGGGAUCCCAUGUGAGAGUAGGUCGUCGUCA
RNAcentral lists this ribosomal RNA (110 nucleotides) under Marinomonas gallaica. The record is from RNAcentral. Lineage: Bacteria; Pseudomonadati; Pseudomonadota; Gammaproteobacteria; Oceanospirillales; Oceanospirillaceae.